This 433-nucleotide ribosomal RNA is filed under the name uncultured bacterium. RNAcentral's name for it is "partial 16S ribosomal RNA". It matches the Rfam family "Bacterial small subunit ribosomal RNA", at positions 29 to 507 of the family's 1533-position model. The record is from RNAcentral.
AACGAACGCUGGCGGCAUGCCUAACACAUGCAAGUCGAACGAGACCUUCGGGUCUAGUGGCGCACGGGUGCGUAACGCGUGGGAACCUGCCCUUAGGUUCGGAAUAACUCCCCGAAAGGGGUACUAAUACCGGAUAAUGUCUUCGGACCAAAGAUUUAUCGCCUUUGGAUGGGCCCGCGUUGGAUUAGCUAGUUGGUAGGGUAAAAGCCUACCAAGGCGACGAUCCAUAGCUGGUCUGAGAGGAUGAUCAGCCACACUGGGACUGAGACACGGCCCAGACUCCUACGGGAGGCAGCAGUGGGGAAUAUUGGACAAUGGGCGAAAGCCUGAUCCAGCAAUGCCGCGUGAGUGAUGAAGGCCUUAGGGUUGUAAAGCUCUUUUACCCAGGAUGAUAAUGACAGUACCGGGAGAAUAAGCUCCGGCUAACUCCGUG